Molecule: transfer RNA, 77 nt
Filed under: Clostridiales bacterium
Lineage: Bacteria; Bacillati; Bacillota; Clostridia; Eubacteriales
Also listed under: 1 other name
Description: tRNA-Val
Rfam family: tRNA
About the family: Transfer RNA (tRNA) molecules are approximately 80 nucleotides in length. Their secondary structure includes four short double-helical elements and three loops (D, anti-codon, and T loops). Further hydrogen bonds mediate the characteristic L-shaped molecular structure. tRNAs have two regions of fundamental functional importance: the anti-codon, which is responsible for specific mRNA codon recognition, and the 3' end, to which the tRNAs corresponding amino acid is attached (by aminoacyl-tRNA synthetases). tRNAs cope with the degeneracy of the genetic code in two manners: having more than one tRNA (with a specific anti-codon) for a particular amino acid; and 'wobble' base-pairing, i.e. permitting non-standard base-pairing at the 3rd anti-codon position.
Source: RNAcentral
GGAGGCAUAGCUCAGUCGGUCAGAGCGCUUGCUUCACAUGCAAGAGGUCGUAGGUUCGAACCCUACUGUCUCUACCA